GUGGGGAAUCUUAGACAAUGGGCGCAAGCCUGAUCUAGCCAUGCCGCGUGAGCGAUGAAGGCCUUAGGGUUGUAAAGCUCUUUCGUGGGGGAAGAUAAUGACUGUACCCCAAGAAGAAGCCCCGGCUAACUCCGUGCCAGCAGCCGCGGUAAUACGGAGGGGGCUAGCGUUGUUCGGAAUUACUGGGCGUAAAGUGCACGUAGGCGGACUGGAAAGUCAGGGGUGAAAUCCCGGGGCUCAACCCCGGAACUGCCUUUGAAACUCCCAGUCUUGAGUUCGAGAGAGGUGAGUGGAAUUCCGAGUGUAGAGGUGAAAUUCGUAGAUAUUCGGAGGAACACCAGUGGCGAAGGCGGCUCACUGGCUCGAUACUGACGCUGAGGUGCGAAAGCGUGGGGAGCAAACAGGAUUAGAUACCCGGGUAGUC
This 424-nucleotide ribosomal RNA is filed under the name uncultured bacterium. RNAcentral describes it as "partial 16S ribosomal RNA". It matches the Rfam family "Bacterial small subunit ribosomal RNA", at positions 354 to 795 of the family's 1533-position model. The record is from RNAcentral.